This is a long non-coding RNA of Penaeus monodon (black tiger shrimp), 548 nucleotides long. RefSeq lists it as uncharacterized. NCBI's taxonomy places the organism in Eukaryota, Metazoa, Arthropoda, Malacostraca, Decapoda, Penaeidae. The transcript has 3 exons. The record is from RefSeq and is a predicted model, not a curated record.
CUGCUUGACGCCCUACGAGAGAACUCCGUCGUCGGCCCCAUCGGCAUGGCGGUCGGACCCGAAGGUCCAGAUCCUGUAGAAUUUAUUACCAGCAUUAUCUUGGCGACCUGACCUUUGAUCUAGACCGCAUGGGAGACUUCACUCGGUAACCCGACCCCCAACGACGCCCUGGGCUUCAAGUGGCAGGCGGCGAUCGAGGACGACCUCCGCUAUCUCGCCCUCACGCCCUCGCCCGCCAUGGAGGCCGACAAGCGACAGGAGGUGCGGAAUUUCCACGCUUCUUUGCCAACAAAAAGGACCACGUCCUCCAUCCUGAACGCAUCGUCUCGGGGAAGAAAUCCUCGCCACGUCCUUCCCAGGAUGAGCUGUAACUCCUUUGCGUGUAGUAUUCAGUCAUUACAAUCAUUUAGUCAUUCUUAAUAACAGUGAAAGGCUGUGAACAUUUUUAUUCAGGAUAUAUAUGUAUUUCUGUAAAUGUAUUUCUUCAGGAAACACUCUUUUUGCGAAUGUUAUGAAUCCUGAUAAGAAUUUGAUGAGGACAAAAGUUA